Molecule: long non-coding RNA, 859 nt
Filed under: Marmota monax (woodchuck)
Lineage: Eukaryota; Metazoa; Chordata; Mammalia; Rodentia; Sciuridae
Source: RNAcentral
GGGAAUGUUAUUCUCUUUUUGAAUAUAUAUAAAAGGAGGCAGAGUAACGAGGAGGGGGAGAUCUGUGCUAAGAGUUCCAUAUCUAAAGCCUGGUACAUUCUCCUUGUUGACUUUGUGUAAACUUUCCCAUAGAAAACAAUGAUUUUGAAAAGUUUUGACUUCUCUUAAAAGCCUUCUAGUGACUGGGUGAAAGUCAUGGCCUUUUUGUUUUCUUGUUUUAUUUCUGAAAUCUCAAUGUCUCUUGGAUCUGGUGGUCAUUUUCUUGUUUGUGUGUUUGUUUGUUUUGGCACUGAGGAUGUAGCCACAGUACUUUACCACUGAGCUACAUCCCCAACUCUUUUCAAAUUAAUUAAUUAUUUUCUUCCUUUCUUCCUUCCUUUCUUUUCACCAGGAAUUGAACCCAGAGGUGCUUAACCAUCAAGCCAUGUCCCCAGCCCAUUUUAUUUUGAAACAGGAUCUUGCUAAGUUGCUUAGGGCCUCACUAAAUUACUGAAGUUGGCUUUGAACUUGUGAUCCUCCUUCUCAGACUCCUGAGCCAUGGGAUUAUAGACGUACGCCACCCCACCUGGCAAAUUAAAAAAAAAAUUUUGUAGUUAUAGAUGGACAUCAUGCCUCUACUUCAUUUGUUCAUUUUUAUGUGGUGCUAAGAAUCAAACCCAGUGCCUCACAUAUGCCAGGCAAGUGCUCUACCACUGAGCCAUAUUCCCAGCCCUGCAGUUUGUUUGUUUGUUUUAAUUUUGAGGCAGGGUAGUUAAAGUACUGAGGCUGGCCUUGAAUUUAUAAUCCUCCUGUCUCAGCCUCUAGAAUUGCUGGGAUUAUAGGCUUGUACCACUGUGUCUAGCUCUCUGUUGGUCUUGAG